RNAcentral lists this ribosomal RNA (500 nucleotides) under uncultured bacterium. RNAcentral's name for it is "bacterial SSU rRNA". It matches the Rfam family "Bacterial small subunit ribosomal RNA", at positions 8 to 505 of the family's 1533-position model. The record is from RNAcentral.
AGAGUUUGAUCAUGGCUCAGAUUGAACGCUGGCGGCAUGCCUUACACAUGCAAGUCGAACGGUAACAGGUCUUCGGAUGCUGACGAGUGGCGAACGGGUGAGUAAUACAUCGGAACGUGCCCGAUCGUGGGGGAUAACGCAGCGAAAGCUGUGCUAAUACCGCAUACGAUCUACGGAUGAAAGCGGGGGAUCGCAAGACCUCGCGCGGACGGAGCGGCCGAUGGCAGAUUAGGUAGUUGGUGGGAUAAAAGCUUACCAAGCCGACGAUCUGUAGCUGGUCUGAGAGGACGACCAGCCACACUGGGACUGAGACACGGCCCAGACUCCUACGGGAGGCAGCAGUGGGGAAUUUUGGACAAUGGGCGCAAGCCUGAUCCAGCCAUGCCGCGUGCAGGAUGAAGGCCUUCGGGUUGUAAACUGCUUUUGUACGGAACGAAAAAGCUCUCUCUAAUACAGGGGGUGAAUGACGGUACCGUAAGAAUAAGCACCGGCUAACUACG